RNAcentral lists this ribosomal RNA (272 nucleotides) under uncultured bacterium. RNAcentral's name for it is "partial 16S ribosomal RNA". It matches the Rfam family "Bacterial small subunit ribosomal RNA", at positions 609 to 879 of the family's 1533-position model. The record is from RNAcentral.
UCAACCUGGGAAUUGCAUUCGUAACUGGCAGGCUGGAGUCUUGUAGAGCGGGGUAGAAUUCCAGGUGUAGCGGUGAAAUGCGUAGAGAUCUGGAGGAAUACCGGUGGAGAUGGCGGCCCCCUGGACUAAGACUGACGGUGAGGUGAGAAAGCGUGGGGAGCAAACAGGAUUAGAUCCCCUGGUAGUCCACGCUGUAAACGAUGUCGACUGGGAGCUUGUUCCCAUGAGGAGUGGCUUCCGGAGCUAACGCGUUAAGCCCAGCCGCCUUCGGA